This 463-nucleotide ribosomal RNA is filed under the name uncultured bacterium. RNAcentral describes it as "partial 16S ribosomal RNA". It matches the Rfam family "Bacterial small subunit ribosomal RNA", at positions 29 to 507 of the family's 1533-position model. The record is from RNAcentral.
ACGAACGCUGGCGGCGUGCUUAACACCUGCCAGUCGAACGGAAAGGCCCUGCUUGCAGGGUACUCGAGUGGCGAACGGGUGAGUAACACGUGGGUGAUCUGCCCUGCACUUCGGGAUAAGCCUGGGAAACUGGGUCUAAUACCGGAUAGGAGCCAUUUUUAGUGUGAUGGUUGGAAAGUUUUUUCGGUGUAGGAUGAGCUCGCGGCCUAUCAGCUUGUUGGUGGGGUAAUGGCCUACCAAGGCGGCGACGGGUAGCCGGCCUGAGAGGGUGGACGGCCACAUUGGGACUGAGAUACGGCCCAGACUCCUACGGGAGGCAGCAGUGGGGAAUAUUGCACAAUGGGCGCAAGCCUGAUGCAGCGACGCCGCGUGGGGGAUGACGGCCUUCGGGUUGUAACUCCUUUCGCUAGGGACGAAGCUUUUUGUGACGGUACCUAGAUAAGAAGCACCGGCUAACUACGUG